UUUCAAAUAUUAGGAUUGAAA
RNAcentral lists this non-coding RNA (21 nucleotides) under Caenorhabditis elegans. The record is from RNAcentral. Lineage: Eukaryota; Metazoa; Nematoda; Chromadorea; Rhabditida; Rhabditidae.